GAUGAACGCUGGCGGCGUGUCUAAUCCAUGCAAGUCGAGCGAACGGACGAGUAGCUUGUUUCUCUGAUGUUAGCGGUGGACGGUUGUGUAACACGUGGAUAACCUAUCUAUAAGUCUGGGAUCACUUCGGUCAACCGGCGCUAAUACCGGAUUAUAUUUUGUAACGCAUGGUUCCCAAGUGCAAGACGGUCUUUCUGUCUUUUUUAGAUGGAUCCGCGCUGCCUUAGCUAGUUGGUAAGGUAACGGCGUACCAAGGCAACGAUUGAUAGCCGACUUGAGAGGGUGAACAGCCACACUGGAACUGAGACACGGUCCAGACUCCGACGGGAGGCAGCAGUAGGGAAUCUUCCGCAAUGGUCGAAAGCCUGACGGAGCAACGCCGCGUGAGUGAUGAAGGUCUUCGGAUCGUAAAACUCUGUUAUUAGGGAAGAACAUAUGUGUAAGUAACUGUUCACAUCUUGACGGUACCUAAUCAGAAAGCCACGGCUAACUACGUG
This 497-nucleotide ribosomal RNA is filed under the name uncultured bacterium. Its description in RNAcentral is "partial 16S ribosomal RNA". It matches the Rfam family "Bacterial small subunit ribosomal RNA", at positions 28 to 507 of the family's 1533-position model. The record is from RNAcentral.